GUGCCCUCUCCAAGCCCGAAGUUGGCCGAAACCACUUAGCCCAAGGGCUAGAUGGGGUUGGUUCUACAGCGAAGGAGAACGCACGAGACUGGCUACACGGAGCAACGACCACCUUCUUCUCUUAGCAGUGGAAGGACGACAC
This 142-nucleotide non-coding RNA is filed under the name Amborella trichopoda. The record is from RNAcentral. Lineage: Eukaryota; Viridiplantae; Streptophyta; Magnoliopsida; Amborellales; Amborellaceae.